GUCUCAGCUCGGAUUGGAGUCUGCAACCCGACUCCAUGAAGCUGGAUUCGCUAGUAAUCGCGCAUCAGCCACGGCGCGGUGAAUACGUUCCCGGGCCUUGUACACACCGCCCGUCAAGCCAUGGAAGCCGGGGGUGCCUGAAGUGCGCUGCCGCAAGGAGCGCCCUAGGGUAAAACCGGUGACUGGGGCUAAGUCGUAACAAGGUAGC
Molecule: ribosomal RNA, 208 nt
Filed under: uncultured bacterium
Lineage: Bacteria
Description: partial 16S ribosomal RNA
Rfam family: Bacterial small subunit ribosomal RNA
Source: RNAcentral